GCACCACAAGGGGUGAAGCCUGCGGUUCAAUUGGAGUCAACGCCAGAAAUCUUACCCGGAGAGACAGCAGAAUGAAGGUCAAGCUGAAGACUUUACCAGACAAGCUGAGAGGUGGUGCAUGGCCGUCGCCAGCUCGUGCCGUGAGAUGUCCUGUUAAGUCAGGUAACGAGCGAGAUCCUUGCCUCUAGUUGCCACCAUUAUUCUCAGGAGUAGUGGGGCGAAUUAGCGGGACCGCCGUAGUUAAUACGGAGGAAGGAAGGGGCCACGGCAGGUCAGUAUGCCCCGAAACUCUGGGGCCACACGCGGGCUGCAAUGGUAACGACAAUGUGUUCCGAAUCCGAAAGGAGGAGGUAAUCCUCAAACGUUACCACAGUUAUGACUGAGGGCUGCAACUCGCCCUCACGAAUAUGGAAUCCCUAGUAACUGCGUGUCAUUAUCGCGCGGUGAAUACGUCCCUGCUCCUUGCACACACCGCCCGUCGUUUCAUUGAAGUUUGCUUUUAGCGAGGUGACGUCUAAUUGGCGUUAUCGAACUUGAGGUAAGUGACAAGGGAA
RNAcentral lists this ribosomal RNA (554 nucleotides) under uncultured archaeon. RNAcentral describes it as "bacterial SSU rRNA". It matches the Rfam family "Archaeal small subunit ribosomal RNA", at positions 876 to 1429 of the family's 1478-position model. The record is from RNAcentral.